AGUGAACGCUGGCGGUAGGCCUAACACAUGCAAGUCGAACGGCAGCACAGUAAGAGCUUGCUCUUACGGGUGGUGAGUGGCGGACGGGUGAGGAAUACAUCGGAAUCUACUUUUUCGUGGGGGAUAACGUAGGGAAACUUACGCUAAUACCGCAUACGACCUACGGGUGAAAGCAGGGGAUCUUCGGACCUUGCGCGAUUGAAUGAGCCGAUGUCGGAUUAGCUAGUUGGCGGGGUAAAGGCCCACCAAGGCGACGAUCCGUAGCUGGUCUGAGAGGAUGAUCAGCCACACUGGAACUGAGACACGGUCCAGACUCCUACGGGAGGCAGCAGUGGGGAAUAUUGGACAAUGGGCGCAAGCCUGAUCCAGCCAUACCGCGUGGGUGAAGAAGGCCUUCGGGUUGUAAAGCCCUUUUGAUGGGAAAGAAAAGCAGCAGGUUAAUACCCCGCUGUUCUGACGGUACCCAAAGAAUAAGCACCGGCUAACUUCGUG
RNAcentral lists this ribosomal RNA (492 nucleotides) under uncultured bacterium. Its description in RNAcentral is "partial 16S ribosomal RNA". It matches the Rfam family "Bacterial small subunit ribosomal RNA", at positions 29 to 507 of the family's 1533-position model. The record is from RNAcentral.